This 1230-nucleotide ribosomal RNA is filed under the name Triticum aestivum (bread wheat). RNAcentral describes it as "partial small subunit ribosomal RNA". Lineage: Eukaryota; Viridiplantae; Streptophyta; Magnoliopsida; Poales; Poaceae. The record is from RNAcentral.
AUGAGUUUGAAUUCUUAUCGUUCGAUCUUGCCACUUCUAAUUUUCUCGGACCAAGCAUAUUUUUGUGAGUCCAAGAAAAUUAACCGCAUGUCCAAAUUCUUCUUCCAACCUUCUCUUCUUUCCUUUUCCUUUCUUUUAGUUCUCUGUUUUUUUAAAAGAGGAGUGAGGAAGAGAGAGCUUAGCCAGCAGGCCUCUCUAGGCCAAUCCAUCCCCGCCGGUCUGUUGGACCUCCUCCCAACCGGGCCUCCCGCGCCGGCCCACCUAACCCUCCUAACCCUAGGCGCUCAACACCUCCACCCCUCUUGUUACCAUCCGCCGCCACCCACACCCACAUGCAUCGAGCCAGGGAGAGCCCUGCUCGAUCCCCUCCUCCCUCGAUGCGCCAUCAGAGAGGGAGAGCAGCGCCGCUCUUACCCGAUCCCCAUCUCUCCCUAUCGACUAGGCCCGUCGCCGCCAUCGCGACUGUCGCGGUCCGACGCCCGCACCUCCUUCCUGCAUCCGCCGCCUAACCUUGCUUGGCCUCCUCCUCUCUGCUCCUCUGCGGGAGUCAUCCCAAGCUCACUGCCCCGUCGCAUCGCCAGGGAUGCCGAGCGCCACCUCGCAACCCCGCCGGCGCCGUGUUCUUCCAGCACCACCACCAUGCUGCCCUCUCCUUCCCCCUGCGCAGGAGCUCGCAGCCACCACCAUGGCGCGUCUUGCUGCUCCCCCAGCGCCCAAUCCUUCCCCUCUGCACUAACUGCCAUGGCACUCCACCGCCCCUUGUAUCAUCCGCCUCCGUCGCCCGACGACCUCCGCCACCAGCAAUGUCGGCGAGCGGGCCGCUGUCGUCCGCCUCGUUGUGCUCCCCUCCACCUCCAGCCACCAACCUCCGUCAUCUCCAUGGUCAAGUUGACACCAGGGCCGACCCCAAGGUCUCCUCUGCUGUCGUCAUCAACUGCAGUUGCAGGUCCGGUAGACCCGUGCCUGCCAUGGCCCUCCUCGCGCUCCUGCUCCCGCUUCGACGGCCUUCCGUGGCUGCAACCACCUUUGCAGCCAAGACCAUCGAACCACGACUUUUCCUCUUGCUCGGCAAGUACCGCACCAAACGCCAAGUAUGAGGACGUCGAGGACCCGUCAAGUUCAUCUACAUGCGUGUACGACUACAUAUUCGGGAUGCGUCUAGUACCUCUACGGAAGACCCGAACGUCUAUGAACUGUGUACGACGACCGUUGCCAAAGACCGUCAAGUGA